UACAGAGGUCCCGAGCGUUGUUCGGAUUCACUGGGCGUAAAGGGUGCGUAGGUGGUGGUGCAAGUUUGAUGUGAAAUCUCCGGGCUUAACCUGGAAAUGGCAUUGAAUACUGCAUUGCUUGAGGUUUGGAGGGGGGACUGGAAUUCUCGGUGUAGCAGUGAAAUGCGUAGAUAUCGAGAGGAACACCAGUGGCGAAGGCGAGUCCCUGGACAAAACCUGACACUGAGGCACGAAAGCUAGGGGAGCAAACAGG
This 253-nucleotide ribosomal RNA is filed under the name uncultured bacterium. RNAcentral describes it as "partial 16S ribosomal RNA". It matches the Rfam family "Bacterial small subunit ribosomal RNA", at positions 524 to 776 of the family's 1533-position model. The record is from RNAcentral.